RNAcentral lists this ribosomal RNA (435 nucleotides) under uncultured bacterium. RNAcentral's name for it is "partial 16S ribosomal RNA". It matches the Rfam family "Bacterial small subunit ribosomal RNA", at positions 28 to 507 of the family's 1533-position model. The record is from RNAcentral.
GGCGAACGCUGGCGGCAGGCUUAACACAUGCAAGUCGAGCGGGCACUUUCGGGUGUCAGCGGCGGACGGGUGAGUAACGCGUGGGAACGUGCCCUCUGGUUCGGAAUAACUCAGGGAAACUUGAGCUAAUACCGGAUACGCCCUUUUGGGGAAAGGCUUGCUGCCGGAGGAUCGGCCCGCGUCUGAUUAGCUAGUUGGUGAGGUAACGGCUCACCAAGGCGACGAUCAGUAGCUGGUCUGAGAGGAUGAUCAGCCACACUGGGACUGAGACACGGCCCAGACUCCUACGGGAGGCAGCAGCGGGGAAUAUUGGACAAUGGGCGCAAGCCUGAUCCAGCCAUGCCGCGUGAGUGAUGAAGGCCUUAGGGUUGUAAAGCUCUUUUAUCCGGGACGAUAAUGACGGUACCGGAGGAAUAAGCCCCGGCUAACUUCGUG